AGUGAACGCUGGCGGCAGGCCUAACACAUGCAAGUCGAACGGCAGCACAGUAAGAGCUUGCUCUUACGGGUGGCGAGUGGCGGACGGGUGAGGAAUACAUCGGAAUCUACUUUUUCGUGGGGGCUAACGUAGGGAAACUUACGCUAAUACCGCAUACGACCUACGGGUGAAAGCAGGGGAUCUUCGGACCUUGCGCGAUUGAAUGAGCCGAUGUCGGAUUAGCUAGUUGGCGGGGCAAAGGCCCACCAAGGCGACGAUCCGUAGCAGGUCUGAGAGGAUGAACAGCCACACUGGAAGUGAGACACGGUCCAGACUCCUACGGGAGGCAGCAGUGGGGAAUAUUGGACAAUGGGCGAAAGCCUGAUCCAGCCAUACCGCGUGGGUGAAGAAGGCCUUCGGGUUGUAAAGCCCUUUUGUUGGGAAAGAAAAGCAGCAGGUUAAUACCCCGCUGUUCUGACGGCACCCAAAGAAUAAGCACCGGCUAACUUCGUG
This 492-nucleotide ribosomal RNA is filed under the name uncultured bacterium. RNAcentral describes it as "partial 16S ribosomal RNA". It matches the Rfam family "Bacterial small subunit ribosomal RNA", at positions 29 to 507 of the family's 1533-position model. The record is from RNAcentral.